This 103-nucleotide small nuclear RNA is filed under the name Microcebus murinus (gray mouse lemur). The record is from RNAcentral. Lineage: Eukaryota; Metazoa; Chordata; Mammalia; Primates; Cheirogaleidae.
AUUGCUUUGGCAGGAUAUAUAUACAAAAACUGGAAUGAUACAGAGAUUAGCAUGGCCCCUGUGCAAAGGUGUCAUGAAAAUUCGUGAAGCACUCCAUAAAAGU